AUUCAACGUCCGAACGCCGGGUAUAAUAUCGCGGCGAUGCAAGCGCGUACGAGCUCCCCGUGUCCCCUCCCUCGCCUACCCACUCAAGGAUUUCGAGACGGAAUCAACUUUAUUCUUUCGUGCAUCAAACCCCGUCGUUAAAUUCGAAAUGGAGCGGCUGAGGACAUGCUUAGCGUAUAUCUCGGGAAGGGGAGGUCAAGCGCAAACGACGACGACGACGGAUAUAAAGCACAAACAAGCUCAAACGGAUGAAGUUAAUUUUCUGUUUCGAAAUUAUAAAGCGGGGGGGGGGACACGGAGCUGCGCGUAUGCGCGGAUUAAGGGGGACAGGGUUUGAAAAUGUCGCGGUGGGCUCACUAUUCCGUAAACUCAAGACGCACGUUUUUUUUCAAUGCUCGACGUUUACCCGAAAUCGAGUUGAACGUUCCGGGUUUCUUACACAACUGAGGUGUGUGUCGAUACUGUACGAUUGGAUUC
Non-coding RNA from Cinara cedri, 477 nucleotides. The record is from the annotation of a GenBank genome assembly. Lineage: Eukaryota; Metazoa; Arthropoda; Insecta; Hemiptera; Aphididae.